This 305-nucleotide ribosomal RNA is filed under the name uncultured bacterium. RNAcentral describes it as "bacterial SSU rRNA". It matches the Rfam family "Bacterial small subunit ribosomal RNA", at positions 334 to 655 of the family's 1533-position model. The record is from RNAcentral.
UGUACCUACGGGGCGCAGCAGUGGGGGAUAUUGCACAAUGGGGGGAACCCUGAUGCAGCGACGCCGCGUGGGUGAAGGAGCGUUUCGGCGCGUAAAGCCCUAUCGGCAGGGAAGAAGGAGGACGGUACCUGACUAAGAAGCCCCGGCUAACUACGUGCCAGCCGCCGCGGUAAUACGUAGGGGGCAAGCGUUAUCCGGGUUUACUGGGUGUAAAGGGGGCGCAGACGGCAGCGCCAGCCAGGAGUGAAAGCCCGGGGCCCAACCCCGGGACUGCUCUUGGAACUGCGCGGCUGGAGUGCCGGGGG